Molecule: ribosomal RNA, 449 nt
Filed under: Stenotrophomonas sp. 2S2.H6
Lineage: Bacteria; Pseudomonadati; Pseudomonadota; Gammaproteobacteria; Lysobacterales; Lysobacteraceae
Description: bacterial SSU rRNA
Rfam family: Bacterial small subunit ribosomal RNA
Source: RNAcentral
UCGGAAUCUACCUUUUCGUGGGGGAUAACGUAGGGAAACUUACGCUAAUACCGCAUACGACCUUCGGGUGAAAGCAGGGGACCUUCGGGCCUUGCGCGGAUAGAUGAGCCGAUGUCGGAUUAGCUAGUUGGCGGGGUAAAGGCCCACCAAGGCGACGAUCCGUAGCUGGUCUGAGAGGAUGAUCAGCCACACUGGAACUGAGACACGGUCCACACUCCUACGGGAGGCAGCAGUGGGGAAUAUUGGACAAUGGGCGCAAGCCUGAUCCAGCCAUACCGCGUGGGUGAAGAAGGCCUUCGGGUUGUAAAGCCCUUUUGUUGGGAAAGAAAAGCAGUCGAUUAAUACUCGGUUGUUCUGACGGUACCCAAAGAAUAAGCACCGGCUAACUUCGUGCCAGCAGCCGCGGUAAUACGAAGGGUGCAAGCGUUUACUCCGGAAUUACUGGGCGU